RNAcentral lists this ribosomal RNA (460 nucleotides) under uncultured bacterium. RNAcentral's name for it is "partial 16S ribosomal RNA". It matches the Rfam family "Bacterial small subunit ribosomal RNA", at positions 338 to 795 of the family's 1533-position model. The record is from RNAcentral.
CCUACGGGUGACAGCAGUGAGGAAUAUUGGUCAAUGGGCGCGAGCCUGAACCAGCCAAGUAGCGUGAAGGAUGACUGCCCUACGGGUUGUAAACUUCUUUUAUAAAGGAAUAAAGUGAGGCACGUGUGCCCUUUUGUAUGUACUUUAUUAAUAAGGAUAGGCUAACUCAGUGCCAGCAGCCGCAGUCAUACGGAGGAUCCGAUCGUUAUCCGGAUUUAUUGUGUUUAAAGGGCGCGUAGAUGGGUUGUUACGUCAGUUGUGAAAGUUUGCGGCUCAAACGUAAAAUUGCAAUUGAUACUGGCAGUCUUGAGUACAGUUGAGGUAGGCGGAAUUCGUGGUGUAGCGGUGAAAUGCUUAGAUAUCACGAAGAACUCCGAUUGCGAAGGCAGCUUACUAAACUGCCACUGACAUUGAUGCUCGAAAGUGUGGGUAUCAAACAGGAUUAGAUACCCCUGUAGUC